Molecule: long non-coding RNA, 429 nt
Organism: Daphnia magna
Lineage: Eukaryota; Metazoa; Arthropoda; Branchiopoda; Diplostraca; Daphniidae
Exons: 4
Source: RefSeq, a predicted model, not a curated record
UACGUACGACAGAUACACUCCGUCUUCUUACCAUAGGUCAUCACCUGGCUUGCCUUCCUGCAGUAAUGAAGAAGAGUCAUUGGUACCGAAUGAAAGCUGUUUUUAUGUUAUUUAUUCUUAUUGAAUUUUGAUUGAGGAGUCAAGUCAAGUCCGGAAGCGUUACAAGACGGAAGGGUCGGCCUACAGUUGAAUAAAACAUUUUAAGCGCAUUAUCUUUGGAAAACGAGUGGAGUAAUGCAAAUUUUCUAAAGAGAAGUAUCAUCGUGCUUUAAUGAAUCGGGAAUGUUUGUCCACUUUGCGCUGAGAGCGUAGGUAAAACUGGGCACUUAAAUUACCCUAAAGACUUUUCGCUACGCUUGCGUUGCAUCAACAAACAUCAUGUAGGGAGUUCCUAGGAUUAAGGAAAUCAUUAACGGCUAAAAGGACACC